RNAcentral lists this ribosomal RNA (506 nucleotides) under uncultured bacterium. RNAcentral describes it as "partial 16S ribosomal RNA". It matches the Rfam family "Bacterial small subunit ribosomal RNA", at positions 30 to 523 of the family's 1533-position model. The record is from RNAcentral.
AUUGAACGCUGGCGGCAGGCCUAACACAUGCAAGUCGAACGGUAACAGGAAACAGCUUGCUGUUUCGCUGACGAGUGGCGGACGGGUGAGUAAUGUCUGGGAAACUGCCUGAUGGAGAGGGAUAACUACUGGAAACGGUAGCUAAUACCGCAUAACGUCGCAAGACCAAAGAGGGGGACCUUCGGGCCUCUUGCCAUCGGAUGUGCCCAGAUGGGAUUAGCUUGUUGGUGGGGUAACAGCUCACCAAGGCGACGAUCCCUAGCUGGUCUGAGAGGAUGACCAGCCACACUGGAACUGAGACACGGUCCAGACUCCUACGGGAGGCAGCAGUGGGGAAUAUUGCACAAUGGGCGCAAGCCUGAUGCAGCCAUGCCGCGUGUAUGAAGAAGGCCUUCGGGUUGUAAAGUACUUUCAGCGGGGAGGAAGGGAGUAAAGUUAAUACCUUUACUCAUUGACGUUACCCGCAGAAGAAGCACCGGCUAACUCCGUGCCAGCCGCCGCCGUAA